RNAcentral lists this ribosomal RNA (450 nucleotides) under uncultured bacterium. RNAcentral describes it as "partial 16S ribosomal RNA". It matches the Rfam family "Bacterial small subunit ribosomal RNA", at positions 354 to 796 of the family's 1533-position model. The record is from RNAcentral.
GUGGGGAAUAUUCCGCAAUGGACGAAAGUCUGACGGAGCAACGCCGCGUGAGUGAUGAAGGUUUUCGGACUGUAAAGCUCUGUUGUUUGGGACGAAAGUGCCUGUUGCGAACAGUUACGGGUAUUGACGGUACUAAACGAGGAAGCCACGGCUAACUACGUGCCAGCAGCCGCGGUAAUACGUAGGUGGCAAGCGUUGUCCGGAAUUAUUGGGCGUAAAGAGCAUGUAGGCGGGAAUCUAAGUCUGUUGUUAAAAUGUGGGGCUCAACCCCGUAUUGCGAUGGAAACUGGGUUUCUUGAGUGCAGGAGAGGAAAGGGGAAUUCCCAGUGUAGCGGUGAAAUGCGUAGAUAUUGGGAGGAACACCAGUGGCGAAGGCGCCUUUCUGGACUGUGUCUGACGCUGAGAUGCGAAAGCCAGGGUAGCGAACGGGAUUAGAUACCCCGGUAGUCC